GACGAACGCUGGCGGCGUGCUUAACACAUGCAAGUCGAGCGGGCACCAUCUAGUGGCAACACUGGUGAAGUGUCAGCGGCGAACGGGUGAGUAACACGUGAGCAACCUGCCCCCAAGUCUGGGAUAACCCCGGGAAACCGGAGCUAAUACCGGAUGCCCUCUUCGGAUCGCAUGGUCUGACGAGGAAAGUUUUUCGCUUGGGGAGGGGCUCGCGGCCUAUCAGCUAGUUGGUGGGGUAAUGGCCUACCAAGGCGUCGACGGGUAGCUGGUCUGAGAG
RNAcentral lists this ribosomal RNA (277 nucleotides) under uncultured bacterium. RNAcentral's name for it is "partial 16S ribosomal RNA". It matches the Rfam family "Bacterial small subunit ribosomal RNA", at positions 28 to 298 of the family's 1533-position model. The record is from RNAcentral.